Molecule: long non-coding RNA, 230 nt
Filed under: Physcomitrium patens
Lineage: Eukaryota; Viridiplantae; Streptophyta; Bryopsida; Funariales; Funariaceae
Description: long non-coding RNA (PPAT_LNC002009)
Source: RNAcentral
AGUAUGGUAUAAACCUCUCUUGAAUGAAUCUCAACAAUCUUAUCAUUAUCCCCUAACCCAAUAGAUGUAAUCAAUUCCAAUGAAUCUUCCAGUCCAUUUUCUUCAUAAACACCUAAAAUCCUCUCAUCAUCUUGCAAUGUACCUAACUUGCGUAAUUAUCCUUCAAUAUCAUAUAAUCUUUUUCUUUCUUUUCUUUUAAAAUCAUCAACUUUCUUAUACAUAAUAUUUCC